UUCGCUCGGACAGUUUGGGCUAUGGUCCAAGUAGCUUCGAAUUUAUACCCACCAUGUAGUGCACGGAAUAUGUUCCGCAACUGGUUGCGGGGUAUAGAUAAAGAAUUUUCUGCACAUAUUCUUGUGGGAGCGGCGGCCUUAUGCUCGGCAAUGUGGCUUACCAGGAAUGAUGUGGUUUUUAACAAUAAAUGUGUCUCAUCUCCUAUGUAGGUUAUUCAUGUUUGUACACGAUGGCUUCGUACUUGGUCUAUCCUGCAGAAGCCGGAGGACAGGGACCUUUUUAUGAUGGCAUCUACACGGCUGGAGCGUACAGCCAGGGAGGUUUUCUACCCCCAUGGAUGGCGGUGUGAUUUACGGAUAGGAUCUACCGCUCCUUAG
RNAcentral lists this ribosomal RNA (378 nucleotides) under Triticum aestivum (bread wheat). RNAcentral describes it as "partial small subunit ribosomal RNA". Lineage: Eukaryota; Viridiplantae; Streptophyta; Magnoliopsida; Poales; Poaceae. The record is from RNAcentral.